GCCUACGGGUGGCUGCAGCCGCGGUAAUACGUAGGGUGCGAGCGUUAAUCGGAAUUACUGGGCGUAAAGCGUGCGCAGGCGGUUUUGUAAGACAGAUGUGAAAUCCCCGGGCUUAACCUGGGAACUGCGUUUGUGACUGCAAGGCUAGAGUACGGCAGAGGGGGGUGGAAUUCCGGGUGUAGCAGUGAAAUGCGUAGAGAUCAGGAGGAACACCGAUGGCGAAGGCAGCCCCCUGGGCCUGUACUGACGCUCAUGCACGAAAGCGUGGGGAGCAAACAGGAUUAGAUACCCUAGUAGUCA
Molecule: ribosomal RNA, 300 nt
Filed under: uncultured bacterium
Lineage: Bacteria
Description: bacterial SSU rRNA
Rfam family: Bacterial small subunit ribosomal RNA
Source: RNAcentral